This 497-nucleotide ribosomal RNA is filed under the name uncultured bacterium. RNAcentral describes it as "partial 16S ribosomal RNA". It matches the Rfam family "Bacterial small subunit ribosomal RNA", at positions 28 to 507 of the family's 1533-position model. The record is from RNAcentral.
GAUGAACGCUGGCGGCGUGCCUAAUACAUGCAAGUCGAGCGAACGGACGAGAAGCUUGCUUCUCUGAUGUUAGCGGCGGACGGGUGAGUAACACGUGGAUAACCUACCUAUAAGACUGGGAUAACUUCGGGAAACCGGAGCUAAUACCGGAUGAUAUUUUGAACCGCAUGGUUCAAAAGUGAAAGACGGUCUUGCUGUCACUUAUAGAUGGAUCCGCGCUGCAUUAGCUAGUUGGUAAGGUAACGGCUUACCAAGGCAACGAUGCAUAGCCGACCUGAGAGGGUGAUCGGCCACACUGGAACUGAGACACGGUCCAGACUCCUACGGGAGGCAGCAGUAGGGAAUCUUCCGCAAUGGGCGAAAGCCUGACGGAGCAACGCCGCGUGAGUGGUGAAGGUCUUCGGAUCGUAAAACUCUGUUAUUAGGGAAGAACAUAUGUGUAAGUAACUGUGCACAUCUUGACGGUGCCUAAUCAGAAAGCCACGGCUAACUACGUG